UACGUAGGGUGCGAGCGUUAAUCGGAAUUACUGGGCGUAAAGCGUGCGCAGGCGGUUAUGCAAGACGGAUGUGAAAUCCCCGGGCUCAACCUGGGAACUGCAUUCGUGACUGCAUAGCUAGAGUUUGUCAGAGGGGGGUGGAAUUCCACGUGUAGCAGUGAAAUGCGUAGAUAUGUGGAAGAACACCGAUGGCGAAGGCAGCCCCCUGGGAUAAGACUGACGCUCAUGCACGAAAGCGUGGGGAGCAAACAGG
Molecule: ribosomal RNA, 253 nt
Filed under: uncultured bacterium
Lineage: Bacteria
Description: partial 16S ribosomal RNA
Rfam family: Bacterial small subunit ribosomal RNA
Source: RNAcentral